GCUCUGAUGGCGAGUGGCGAACGGGUGAGUAAUAUAUCGGAACGUGCCCUAGAGUGGGGGAUAACUAGUCGAAAGACUAGCUAAUACCGCAUACGAUCUAAGGAUGAAAGUGGGGGAUCGCAAGACCUCAUGCUCGUGGAGCGGCCGAUAUCUGAUUAGCUAGUUGGUGGGGUAAAAGCCUACCAAGGCAACGAUCAGUAGCUGGUCUGAGAGGACGACCAGCCACACUGGGACUGAGACACGGCCCAGACUCCUACGGGAGGCAGCAGUGGGGAAUUUUGGACAAUGGGGGCAACCCUGAUCCAGCAAUGCCGCGUGAGUGAAGAAGGCCUUCGGGUUGUAAAGCUCUUUUGUCAGGGAAGAAACGGUUCUGGAUAAUACCUGGAGCUAAUGACGGUACCUGAAGAAUAAGCACCGGCUAACUACGUGCCAGCAGCCGCGGUAAUACGUAGGGUGCAAGCGUUAAUCGGAAUUACUGGGCGUAAAGCGUGCGCAGGCGGUUGUGUAAGUCAGAUGUGAAAUCCCCGGGCUCAACCUGGGAAUUGCAUUUGAGACUGCACGGCUAGAGUGUGUCAGAGGGGGGUAGAAUUCCACGUGUAGCAGUGAAAUGCGUAGAUAUGUGGAGGAAUACCGAUGGCGAAGG
RNAcentral lists this ribosomal RNA (643 nucleotides) under Herbaspirillum sp. EECC-261. RNAcentral describes it as "bacterial SSU rRNA". It matches the Rfam family "Bacterial small subunit ribosomal RNA", at positions 82 to 721 of the family's 1533-position model. The record is from RNAcentral. Lineage: Bacteria; Pseudomonadati; Pseudomonadota; Betaproteobacteria; Burkholderiales; Oxalobacteraceae.